This 1535-nucleotide long non-coding RNA is filed under the name Olea europaea subsp. europaea. The record is from RNAcentral. Lineage: Eukaryota; Viridiplantae; Streptophyta; Magnoliopsida; Lamiales; Oleaceae.
CUCUGAAAUCACAACCACUCAAACAAAUGCAAAUUUCUUCUAGGCUUGAGAAUUUAAGUGACUACUCCUCUUUAAUUCAUACUUUCAUAUGGGUCAUAGAUACAAACAUAGAUACGCAACUUGCUUACAAACAUCAAUUGCAUCCUGAUUGUUCAUAAUACAGACACGUAACCAAAACUUAAUUAAGAAAUCAUAAAAAUUAAAAAAUAAAUAAAAACCCAACAAACCCAGUUGAAAGAAUAGAAACAACAAAGGAAGGAAAAAAAAAAAGGACAACUAAAAGAACAUAUCUAGGUUUUCCAUAAGCCAAAAAUCAAACUAACGAAAUUUUUUUACCCAAUAUAACAGGAAAAAUGCGUGAAAUAUCAACUUCAAAGAACAUGAAGAUGGUAAAACAUUAAAUCAAAACCCUAGAUAUCAAUUUUUUUCCUCAAAUUAAAAUCACAUCCAACUAGGGGUGGGCAAAAAAAUCAAACCAACCCACGAAAAUCGGCCAACCCAAACCGAACCAAUUGAUUUGGUUCGAUUUUUUCUUAAAAUUCUGUUGGGUUGAAUUUUUUUAGAAGAAAAUGGGUUGAGUUGUUUGGGUUAUGGGUUGAUCCAUCAAACUGAUAAAACCUACCCAACCCAACCGCCUACUUAAAAAAGUGAAAAAAAUUUAAGCAAAUGUAAAAAUUAAAAAAUUGAAACCUCAAGGCCCUAGUUUACAAUGUUUUAUCAUUUCUCUCAUACUUUCUCUUUUUCUAGCCAUAAAACUAAAUGAUGCACUCUCUCAUUUUCUCUCGUUCAAGCCUGUCGAUCGUCGUCAACUUUGUUUGCAUCUAGGCUUGACGCUAAUCAUCGUGCUUUAUUCAUAUUGGUACUCUUAACUUUAAAUUUUAAGUUGACUAUUCAUUUAUGUUUUGUGAAUGUGAUAAUUUGGGGCUUAGUUUCAGGCUUAUUUUUUCUAUAAGCAAGAUGAUAAUUUGUAUAAUAUAUGCAUUUUCCUUCAUGCCUAAUUACAAGUUUUUGUUCAUGGCGAAGCAUUGUGGUUGAUAGGUUUUUAUUGCCGAGCAUAUUUUUAUGAUUUUUAAUGUCUAAACCAACCAACCUAACCCGACCUGAUCGAAAUUGGAUUGAAUUGGGUUGAAAUACAUAAUUGAGUUGUGAUGAUUUGAUUUUAGAUCAAACUGAUCAUGUUGAGUUGGAUUUGGAUUGCAUAAUAAAUCGACCCAACCCAACCACGCCUACCCUUACAUCUAACCAUAACACAAAUACAACAUAAAUUAUUCAAAACGUUUAAAAGUUAAAGAAAAUGAAAAAGACAUUUACCUCUUUCGAUUAAUCCUAUGGAAGGGAAAAAUUGAACAUUGGAGAAAGAUGUAGAUAUGAGUUCAAUGGUUGUAAGUUAUCGAUCGUUGAAAUGAGGAGCGAUUAUUUUGGGGAAGGCUGCUUACCGAUCAAAGAGGAAUGGCGUGGUUUUGGAUUCACUUUUAAGAAAUGGAGGAGUUAGAGUAGAACAAGAAGAGAUAAUGGAGUUGGAUUAUGGGUUUAGA